RNAcentral lists this unclassified non-coding RNA (200 nucleotides) under soil metagenome. RNAcentral describes it as "partial contains internal transcribed spacer 2 and large subunit ribosomal RNA". The record is from RNAcentral.
UCGAGCGUCAUUACAACCCUCAAGCACUGCUUGGUAUUGGAUGUAACCAGACAUCUGGCGCGUCCCAAAAUUAUCAGCGGUAGCACUUGGCUUCUAGUGUAGUAAUUCUCUCGCUAUGGAGCUCUAGUUGUAUACCUGCUAGAACCCUAAAUAUAUCAAAGGUUGACCUCGGAUCAGGUAGGGAUACCCGCUGAACUUAA